GACGAACGCUGGCGGCGCGCCUAACACAUGCAAGUCGAACGAGCGAGAGGAGGUUUACUUUCUCACGCGAGUGGCGAACGGGUGAGUAACGCGUGAGGAACCUGCCUCAGAGAGGGGGACAACAGUUGGAAACGACUGCUAAUACCGCAUAAGAGCACGACCUGCAAUCGGGUAGAGGGAAAAGUUGCGCUCCGCGUUGAGAUGGCCUCGCGUCCGAUUGGGUAGGUGGUGGGGUAAUGGCCCACCACGGCGACGAACGGUGGCCGGACUGAGGUGUGGAAACACUGCAUUGGGGCUGAGGCACGGCCCAGACUCCUACGGGAGGCAGCAGUAGAGAAUAUUGCGCAAUGGGGCAAACCCUGAUGCAGCGGCGCCGCGGAGAACAAGAAGGUCUUCGGAUUGUAAACUCCUGUGUGAGAGGAAGAUAAUGACGGUACUCAACAAAGAAGUGACGGCUAACUACGUG
Molecule: ribosomal RNA, 466 nt
Filed under: uncultured bacterium
Lineage: Bacteria
Description: partial 16S ribosomal RNA
Rfam family: Bacterial small subunit ribosomal RNA
Source: RNAcentral